UACGUAGGGGGCAAGCGUUGUCCGGAAUCAUUGGGCGUAAAGAGCGUGUAGGCGGCCAGGGAGGUCCGUUGUGAAAACUCGAGGCUCAACCUCGAGACGCCGAUGGAAACCCCCUGGCUAGAGUCCGGAAGAGGAGAGUGGAAUUCCUGGUGUAGCGGUGAAAUGCGCAGAUAUCAGGAAGAACACCCGUGGCUAAGGCGACUCUUUGGCCUGUAACUGACACUGAGGCGCGAAAGCGUGGGGAGCAAACAGG
RNAcentral lists this ribosomal RNA (253 nucleotides) under uncultured bacterium. RNAcentral describes it as "partial 16S ribosomal RNA". It matches the Rfam family "Bacterial small subunit ribosomal RNA", at positions 524 to 776 of the family's 1533-position model. The record is from RNAcentral.